RNAcentral lists this unclassified non-coding RNA (247 nucleotides) under Hevea brasiliensis (rubber tree). The record is from RNAcentral. Lineage: Eukaryota; Viridiplantae; Streptophyta; Magnoliopsida; Malpighiales; Euphorbiaceae.
UACUUUCUUGUUUCCUUUAGGGUAAAGAGACAACCUCCAUUUGUAUCCACCAACUUCAAAAUCACUGGAUUCAUAGCUUUCUACCUUUGCAUUAGAAAGGUAAGAGAAGUUUUCAAUCUUGAAUAUGUAGUGAGCUGGUGGAAGAUCCCUUAGUUCCCUUAUUAUUUCUGUUUGUUCCUCUUUGAUAGCAAGUUCACCGAUCUCUUCUUCCACAACUGCUUUUACUUCUUCUUUGGCAGUAAGUUCA